This 119-nucleotide ribosomal RNA is filed under the name Pteropus alecto (black flying fox). Lineage: Eukaryota; Metazoa; Chordata; Mammalia; Chiroptera; Pteropodidae. The record is from RNAcentral.
GUCUAUGGCUGUGCCACACUGAACACACCCGAUCCCGUCUGAUCUCAGAAGCUAAGCAGGGUCGGGUCUGGUUAGUACUUGGAUGGGAGACCACCUAGGAAGACCGGGUGCUGUAGGCA